UAGGUAGUUGUUGUAGCAAGCAGACAACAGGCUUUGGUGGACUGUUGGUAGUUGGUAGCCAACAGACAUCAGGAAGUGGUGGACUGGUGGUAGUUGAAGUAGCCAUCAAACGGCAGGCAGUGGUCGACUGAUGGGGCUUGCAGUAGCCAGUCGGCAGUGGUGGAGUGGUGAGAGUUGUAGACGCCAGCGGACAUCAGGCAGUGGUGGACUGGUGGGAGUUGUAGAAGCCAGUGGACAGCAGACAAUGAUGGACUGAAAGGAGACAGGAUAGAUGGAAUAAACAGAUUAGACAGAUGAUCAAUAGGAUAAUUUAGAUUCCUGUAAACAUGAGGAGUUUUAUCAAUACCAGUGCAUUGUUACCCAGCCUGUACUGGGACCAGACUACCUGCAUGAAGUGACAUUGUAAUAUGUCUAUGAUGAAUGUCCCCUACAUAAAGCUUUCUCCUAGUGAUAAAUGACCAUACACUGGAUCCACAAUUAACAAGCAGUGCAUCUUCAAUGAACAAGGGAGAAAAGCAGCUCUGGAGGUGGUUAAAGGAGCAUCAAUUAGGAAUAGGAUAGUCAAGUGUCAACCCUUUAUCUAGAAGAUCUAUCCUGCUGAUGCAAUAAAG
Molecule: long non-coding RNA, 611 nt
Organism: Hyla sarda
Lineage: Eukaryota; Metazoa; Chordata; Amphibia; Anura; Hylidae
Exons: 4
Source: RefSeq, a predicted model, not a curated record